Molecule: ribosomal RNA, 253 nt
Filed under: uncultured bacterium
Lineage: Bacteria
Description: partial 16S ribosomal RNA
Rfam family: Bacterial small subunit ribosomal RNA
Source: RNAcentral
UACGUAGGGAGCAAGCGUUAAUCGGAAUUACUGGGCGUAAAGCGUGCGCAGGCGGUUGUGUAAGACAGAUGUGAAAUCCCCGGGCUCAACCUGGGAACUGCAUUUGUGACUGCACGGCUGGAGUGCGGCAGAGGGGGAUGGAAUUCCGCGUGUAGCAGUGAAAUGCGUAGAUAUGCGGAGGAACACCGAUGGCGAAGGCAAUCCCCUGGGCCUGCACUGACGCUCAUGCACGAAAGCGUGGGGAGCAAACAGG